RNAcentral lists this ribosomal RNA (496 nucleotides) under uncultured bacterium. RNAcentral describes it as "partial 16S ribosomal RNA". It matches the Rfam family "Bacterial small subunit ribosomal RNA", at positions 29 to 507 of the family's 1533-position model. The record is from RNAcentral.
AUGAACGCUGGCGGCGUGCCUAAUACAUGCAAGUCGAGCGAACAGACGAGGAGCUUGCUCCUCUGACGUUAGCGGCGGACGGGUGAGUAACACGUGGAUAACCUACCUAUAAGACUGGGAUAACUUCGGGAAACCGGAGCUAAUACCGGAUAAUAUAUUGAACCGCAUGGUUCAAUAGUGAAAGACGGUUUUGCUGUCACUUAUAGAUGGAUCCGCGCCGCAUUAGCUAGUUGGUAAGGUAACGGCUUACCAAGGCAACGAUGCGUAGCCGACCUGAGAGGGGGAUCGGCCACCAUGGAACUGAGACACGGUCCAGACUCCUACGGGAGGCAGCAGUAGGGAAUCUUCCGCAAUGGGCGAAAGCCUGACGGAGCAACGCCGCGUGAGUGAUGAAGGUCUUCGGAUCGUAAAACUCUGUUAUUAGGGAAGAACAAAUGUGUAAGUAACUAUGCACGUCUUGACGGUACCUAAUCAGAAAGCCACGGCUAACUACGUG